GACAACCGGCCAUGUUAAUGAG
RNAcentral lists this non-coding RNA (22 nucleotides) under Arabidopsis thaliana (thale cress). The record is from RNAcentral. Lineage: Eukaryota; Viridiplantae; Streptophyta; Magnoliopsida; Brassicales; Brassicaceae.